ACGUCCUUAGUUCAGUCGGUAGAACGCUGGUUUCCAAAACCUGAUGUCGUAGGUUCAAUUCCUACAGGGCGUG
This 73-nucleotide transfer RNA is filed under the name Tetrabaena socialis. RNAcentral's name for it is "tRNA-Trp". It matches the Rfam family "tRNA". From Rfam's summary of the family: Transfer RNA (tRNA) molecules are approximately 80 nucleotides in length. Their secondary structure includes four short double-helical elements and three loops (D, anti-codon, and T loops). Lineage: Eukaryota; Viridiplantae; Chlorophyta; Chlorophyceae; Chlamydomonadales; Tetrabaenaceae. The record is from RNAcentral.